This is a long non-coding RNA of Polypterus senegalus (gray bichir), 361 nucleotides long. RefSeq lists it as uncharacterized. The record is from RefSeq and is a predicted model, not a curated record. Lineage: Eukaryota; Metazoa; Chordata; Cladistia; Polypteriformes; Polypteridae. The transcript is spliced from 3 exons.
UGCUCCGAGUUUGGGAUGUUCCACACUCUGGCUUUCUCCGUCGUAUAUUUACGCGCGAGAUCCUCUGGCGUCCCCGGGGGCCGUGUGUCACGCCUUCGCCGGUAAAGGGGAUGUCGGACAGGCCUGGCUUCUAAUUACAAAACUGGUUGGGAUUAAAACUUGCGGACCUACAAAACCAGAGAAAACCAGAAGAAAAAUAAUUGCCUCCACUUCUGGGUAUAAAAAUGGCCGCGACAACGUCACCACCGGCCAUCCCCAAUGACAUCACUUCCGGCUCACCUCGAUGGCGUUACUUCCGAUUCCUGCUCCUAACGUCAAUUCACGCCAACCAUUUCCUGUUCCCAUAAUCCUUUUUGUAUAA